GACGACAUUAGACGAAUCAUCUGGAAAGAUGAAUCAAAGAAGGUAAUAAUCCUGUAGUCGAAAAUGUUGUCUCUCUUGAGUGGAUCCUGAGUACGACGGAGCACGUGAAAUUCCGUCGGAAUCUGGGAGGACCAUCUCCUAAGGCUAAAUACUCUCUAGUGACCGAUAGUGAACCAGUACCGUGAGGGAAAGGUGAAAAGCACCCCGGAAGGGGAGUGAAAUAGAACCUGAAACCGUGUGCUUACAAGUAGUCAGAGCCCGUUAAUGGGUGAUGGCGUGCCUUUUGUAGAAUGAACCGGCGAGUUACGAUUUGAUGCAAGGUUAAGCAGUAAAUGUGGAGCCGUAGCGAAAGCGAGUCUGAAUAGGGCGUUUAGUAUUUGGUCGUAGACCCGAAACCAGGUGAUCUACCCUUGGUCAGGUUGAAGUUCAGGUAACACUGAAUGGAGGACCGAACCGACUUACGUUGAAAAGUGAGCGGAUGAACUGAGGGUAGCGGAGAAAUUCCAAUCGAACCUGGAGAUAGCUGGUUCUCUCCGAAAUAGCUUUAGGGCUAGCCUCAAGUGAUGAUUAUUGGAGGUAGAGCACUGUUUGGACGAGGGGCCCCUCUCGGGUUACCGAAUUCAGACAAACUCCGAAUGCCAAUUAAUUUAACUUGGGAGUCAGAACAUGGGUGAUAAGGUCCGUGUUCGAAAGGGAAACAGCCCAGACCACCAGCUAAGGUCCCAAAAUAUAUGUUAAGUGGAAAAGGAUGUGGCGUUGCCCAGACAACUAGGAUGUUGGCUUAGAAGCAGCCAUCAUUUAAAGAGUGCGUAAUAGCUCACUAGUCGAGUGACACUGCGCCGAAAAUGUACCGGGGCUAAACAUAUUACCGAAGCUGUGGAUUGUCCUUUGGACAAUGGUAGGAGAGCGUUCUAAGGGCGUUGAAGCAUGAUCGUAAGGACAUGUGGAGCGCUUAGAAG
Molecule: ribosomal RNA, 959 nt
Filed under: Staphylococcus aureus
Lineage: Bacteria; Bacillati; Bacillota; Bacilli; Caryophanales; Staphylococcaceae
Description: partial 23S ribosomal RNA
Rfam family: Bacterial large subunit ribosomal RNA
Source: RNAcentral